RNAcentral lists this non-coding RNA (26 nucleotides) under Homo sapiens (human). The record is from RNAcentral. Lineage: Eukaryota; Metazoa; Chordata; Mammalia; Primates; Hominidae.
CCUGAGAGAAUCUGACCGUGGAGAUC